RNAcentral lists this transfer RNA (73 nucleotides) under Salmo salar (Atlantic salmon). It matches the Rfam family "tRNA". Rfam says of the family: Transfer RNA (tRNA) molecules are approximately 80 nucleotides in length. The record is from Rfam by way of RNAcentral. Lineage: Eukaryota; Metazoa; Chordata; Actinopteri; Salmoniformes; Salmonidae.
UUCUGUGUGGCUCAGUUGGUAGAGCAUGGUGCUUGCAACGCCAAGGUUGUGGAUUUGAUUCCCACUGGAGAUC